RNAcentral lists this small nucleolar RNA (145 nucleotides) under Carlito syrichta (Philippine tarsier). Its description in RNAcentral is "Small nucleolar RNA SNORD10 (ENSTSYG00000021229.2)". It matches the Rfam family "Small nucleolar RNA SNORD10". The record is from Rfam by way of RNAcentral. Lineage: Eukaryota; Metazoa; Chordata; Mammalia; Primates; Tarsiidae.
GCUCUGUGAUGAUCCCCAUGCGUGUCAUCUGAGCCUGGCUUCCCUGUCAGCUCAGCCCAGCUAGUUAGUGUUCUACUUCCCAGGGCUGUGGUCUGGCCUGGCGGGGACAUUCUGGGCAAAGGAUCAGUUUUGGUAUUCUGAGAGC